This 801-nucleotide ribosomal RNA is filed under the name Streptomyces sp. RNAcentral describes it as "bacterial SSU rRNA". It matches the Rfam family "Bacterial small subunit ribosomal RNA", at positions 67 to 883 of the family's 1533-position model. The record is from RNAcentral. Lineage: Bacteria; Bacillati; Actinomycetota; Actinomycetes; Kitasatosporales; Streptomycetaceae.
CGAUGAACCACUUCGGUGGGGAUUAGUGGCGAACGGGUGAGUAACACGUGGGCAAUCUGCCCUUCACUCUGGGACAAGCCCUGGAAACGGGGUCUAAUACCGGAUACCACUCUCACAGGCAUCUGUGGGGGUUGAAAGCUCCGGCGGUGAAGGAUGAGCCCGCGGCCUAUCAGCUUGUUGGUGAGGUAACGGCUCACCAAGGCGACGACGGGUAGCCGGCCUGAGAGGGCGACCGGCCACACUGGGACUGAGACACGGCCCAGACUCCUACGGGAGGCAGCAGUGGGGAAUAUUGCACAAUGGGCGAAAGCCUGAUGCAGCGACGCCGCGUGAGGGAUGACGGCCUUCGGGUUGUAAACCUCUUUCAGCAGGGAAGAAGCGAAAGUGACGGUACCUGCAGAAGAAGCGCCGGCUAACUACGUGCCAGCAGCCGCGGUAAUACGUAGGGCGCAAGCGUUGUCCGGAAUUAUUGGGCGUAAAGAGCUCGUAGGCGGCUUGUCACGUCGGGUGUGAAAGCCCGGGGCUUAACCCCGGGUCUGCAUUCGAUACGGGCUAGCUAGAGUGUGGUAGGGGAGAUCGGAAUUCCUGGUGUAGCGGUGAAAUGCGCAGAUAUCAGGAGGAACACCGGUGGCGAAGGCGGAUCUCUGGGCCAUUACUGACGCUGAGGAGCGAAAGCGUGGGGAGCGAACAGGAUUAGAUACCCUGGUAGUCCACGCCGUAAACGGUGGGAACUAGGUGUUGGCGACAUUCCACGUCGUCGGUGCCGCAGCUAACGCAUUAAGUUCCCCGCCUGGGGAGUAC